RNAcentral lists this ribosomal RNA (1017 nucleotides) under uncultured bacterium. Its description in RNAcentral is "bacterial SSU rRNA". It matches the Rfam family "Bacterial small subunit ribosomal RNA", at positions 355 to 1375 of the family's 1533-position model. The record is from RNAcentral.
UGAGGAAUAUUGGUCAAUGGGCGAGAGCCUGAACCAGCCAAGUAGCGUGAAGGAUGAAGGUCCUACGGAUUGUAAACUUCUUUUAUACGGGAAUAAAGCUUCCUACGUGUAGGAUUUUGUAUGUACCGUAUGAAUAAGCAUCGGCUAACUCCGUGCCAGCAGCCGCGGUAAUACGGAGGAUGCGAGCGUUAUCCGGAUUUAUUGGGUUUAAAGGGAGCGCAGACGGGAGAUUAAGUCAGUUGUGAAAGUUUGCGGCUCAACCGUAAAAUUGCAGUUGAUACUGGUUUCCUUGAGUGCAGUUGAGGCAGGCGGAAUUCGUGGUGUAGCGGUGAAAUGCUUAGAUAUCACGAAGAACCCCGAUUGCGAAGGCAGCUUGCUAAACUGUAACUGACGUUCAUGCUCGAAAGUGUGGGUAUCAAACAGGAUUAGAUACCCUGGUAGUCCACACGGUAAACGAUGGAUACUCGCUGUUGGCGAUAUACUGUCAGCGGCCAAGCGAAAGCAUUAAGUAUCCCACCUGGGGAGUACGCCGGCAACGGUGAAACUCAAAGGAAUUGACGGGGGCCCGCACAAGCGGAGGAACAUGUGGUUUAAUUCGAUGAUACGCGAGGAACCUUACCCGGGCUUAAAUUGCAGACGAAUUACGAGGAAACUUGUAAGCCGCAAGGCGUCUGUGAAGGUGCUGCAUGGUUGUCGUCAGCUCGUGCCGUGAGGUGUCGGCUUAAGUGCCAUAACGAGCGCAACCCUCGUGGUCAGUUACUAACAGGUUAAGCUGAGGACUCUGGCCAGACUGCCAUCGUAAGAUGUGAGGAAGGUGGGGAUGACGUCAAAUCAGCACGGCCCUUACGUCCGGGGCUACACACGUGUUACAAUGGGAGGUACAGAAGGCAGCUACCCGGCGACGGGAUGCCAAUCCCCAAAACCUCUCUCAGUUCGGACUGGAGUCUGCAACCCGACUCCAUGAAGCUGGAUUCGCUAGUAAUCGCGCAUCAGCCACGGCGCGGUGAAUACGUUCCC